ACCUGGCUAGCUCAGUGGGUAGAGCACGUGACUCUUGAUUUUGGGGUCGUGAGUUCAAGCCCCAUGUUGGGCA
This 73-nucleotide transfer RNA is filed under the name Ailuropoda melanoleuca (giant panda). It matches the Rfam family "tRNA". From Rfam's summary of the family: Transfer RNA (tRNA) molecules are approximately 80 nucleotides in length. Their secondary structure includes four short double-helical elements and three loops (D, anti-codon, and T loops). The record is from Rfam by way of RNAcentral. Lineage: Eukaryota; Metazoa; Chordata; Mammalia; Carnivora; Ursidae.